This 255-nucleotide ribosomal RNA is filed under the name uncultured bacterium. RNAcentral's name for it is "partial 16S ribosomal RNA". It matches the Rfam family "Bacterial small subunit ribosomal RNA", at positions 524 to 777 of the family's 1533-position model. The record is from RNAcentral.
UACGAAGGGGGCUAGCGUUGCUCGGAAUCACUGGGCGUAAAGGGUGCGUAGGCGGACUCUUAAGUCAGGGGUGAAAGCCUGAGGCUCAACCUCAGAACUGCCUUUGAUACUGAGAGUCUCGAGACCGGAAGAGGUAAGUGGAACUGCGAGUGUAGAGGUGAAAUUCGUAGAUAUUCGCAAGAACACCAGUGGCGAAGGCGGCUUACUGGUCCGGUUCUGGACGCUGAGGCACGAAAGCGUGGGGAGCAAACAGGG